RNAcentral lists this ribosomal RNA (601 nucleotides) under uncultured marine eukaryote. RNAcentral's name for it is "SSU rRNA". It matches the Rfam family "Eukaryotic small subunit ribosomal RNA", at positions 616 to 1220 of the family's 1831-position model. The record is from RNAcentral.
CGGUUAAAAAGCUCGUAGUUGGAUUUCUGCUGAAGCAAACCGGUCCGCCCUCUGGGUGAGCAUCUGGUUUUGUUUUGGCAUAUGCUUAGACUUUGCAGCUGCACUUGACUGUGUGGUGUGAAGGCUGAGCCAUUUACUUUGAGGAAAUCAGAGUGUUUCAAGCAGGCCAUUGCCUUGAAUACACUAGCAUGGAAUAAUACGAUAUGACUGUGGUUUUAUUUUGUUGGCUUUUAGAAUUAGAGUAAUGGUAAAUAGGGAUAGUUGGGGGCACUCAUAUUUAACUGUCAGAGGUGAAAUUCUUGGAUUUGUUAAGGAUGAACGACUGCGAAAGCAUUUGCCAAGGAUGCUUUCAUUGAUCAAGAACGAAAGUUAGGGGAUCGAAGACGAUUAGAUACCGUCCUAGUCUUAACCAUAAUCCAUGCCAACUAGAGAUUGGAGAUUGUUAUGUGCAUGACUCCUUCAGCACCUUAUGAUAAAUCAAAGUCUUUGGGUUCCGGGGGGAGUAUGGUCGCAAGGCUGAAACUUAAAGGAAUUGACGGAAGGGCACCACCAGGAGUGGAGCCUGCGGCUUAAUUUGACUCAACACGGGGGAAACUUACCA